UAUCUCUGUAGAGUCUGCAUAUCAAUAAGCGGAGGAAAAGAAACUAACUAGGAUUCCCUCAGUAACGGCGAGUGAAGCGGGAAGAGCUCAAAUUUGAAAUCUUCAAGGUUCUACCUUGACGAAUUGUAGUUUAAAGAAGUGUUUUCUGUUGGAGUUUUGGUAAAAGUUCUUUGGAAUAGGACAUCAUAGAGGGUGAGAAUCCCGUAUUCGACCAUUAUUUCCAGCUUUGUGAUACACUUUCAAAGAGUCGGAUUGUUUGGGAAUGCAGUCCAAAAUGGGUGGUAAAUUUCAUCUAAAGCUAAAUAUUGGCGAGAGACCGAUAGCGAACAAGUACCGUGAGGGAAAGAUGAAAAGAACUUUGAAAAGAGAGUUAAACAGUACGUGAAAUUGUCAAAAGGGAAGCGUUUGACACCAGUGUUGUUUUUCCGAAAAUCAAUUACGAAUGGCUUGAUUCUGUGUUGUAUUGACCUUAUCAGCUUUCUUCACUUUUUUCGAGUCUUUCUUAAUGCACUUUUCGGUUAACAAGUCAACAUCAAUUUCUUUUGUUGUAAGAGAGUAUUCGGAAGGUGGCUUUCUUUUCGGAGAAAGUGUUUAUAGCCCUAUACUUCUACAAUCGGAGAGAUUGAGGUCUGCAGCGUAGAUCCUUCGGGGUUAGAUACACUUGUGCUAAGUUGUAGCUUUUCAUAGACAACUUGUUGACUAUGUUUAGUCAUGCGGCUUACUCGCUUAUGCUAUUUUACCUACGCUUAGGAUGUUGAAGAUGUAGCACAUCAU
This 774-nucleotide ribosomal RNA is filed under the name uncultured Neocallimastigales. Its description in RNAcentral is "partial large subunit ribosomal RNA". It matches the Rfam family "Eukaryotic large subunit ribosomal RNA", at positions 24 to 643 of the family's 3401-position model. The record is from RNAcentral. Lineage: Eukaryota; Fungi; Neocallimastigomycota; Neocallimastigomycetes; Neocallimastigales.